AGAAUCAACGCUGGCGGCGUGCCUAACACAUGCAAGUCGAACGAGAAAGGGUAGCAAUACCUGAGUAAAGUGGCGCACGGGUGAGUAACACGUGACUAACCUACCUUUUAGUGGGGGAUAACCUAGGGAAACCUGGGCUAAUACCGCAUAAUACCUACGGGUCAAAGCAGCAAUGCGCUGAAUGAGGGGGUCGCGGUCGAUUAGUUAGUUGGCAGGGUAAUGGCCUACCAAGACUGUGAUCGAUAUCCGGCCUGAGAGGGCGCACGGACACACUGGAACUGAAACACGGUCCAGACUCCUACGGGAGGCAGCAGUGGGAAUUUUGCGCAAUGGGGGAAACCCUGACGCAGCAACGCCGCGUGGAGGAUGAAGUCCCUUGGGACGUAAACUCCUUUCGAUCGGGACGAUAAUGACGGUACCGGAAGAAGAAGCCCCGGCUAACUUCGUCGCCAGCAGCCGC
RNAcentral lists this ribosomal RNA (460 nucleotides) under uncultured bacterium. RNAcentral describes it as "SSU rRNA". It matches the Rfam family "Bacterial small subunit ribosomal RNA", at positions 26 to 518 of the family's 1533-position model. The record is from RNAcentral.